Molecule: ribosomal RNA, 608 nt
Filed under: uncultured bacterium
Lineage: Bacteria
Description: bacterial SSU rRNA
Rfam family: Bacterial small subunit ribosomal RNA (bases 1-530)
Source: RNAcentral
CCUACGGGAGGCAGCAGUGAGGAAUAUUGGACAAUGGGCGCAAGCCUGAUCCAGCCAUGCCGCGUGCAGGAAGACGGUCCUAUGGAUUGUAAACUGCUUUUGUACAGGAAGAAACACUCCCUCGUGAGGGAGCUUGACGGUACUGUAAGAAUAAGGAUCGGCUAACUCCGUGCCAGCAGCCGCGGUAAUACGGAGGAUCCAAGCGUUAUCCGGAAUCAUUGGGUUUAAAGGGUCCGUAGGCGGUUUAAUAAGUCAGUGGUGAAAUCUGGUCGCUCAACGAUCAAACGGCCAUUGAUACUGUUAGACUUGAAUUAUUAGGAAGUAACUAGAAUAUGUAGUGUAGCGGUGAAAUGCUUAGAUAUUACAUGGAAUACCAAUUGCGAAGGCAGGUUACUACUAAUGGAUUGACGCUGAUGGACGAAAGCGUGGGGAGCGAACAGGAUUAGAUACCCUGGUAGUCCACGCCGUAAACGAUGGAUACUAGCUGUUCGGAGCAAUCUGAGUGNGUAGAGAAGAGAUAGUAUACCACCGAGGAGGUACGUCGCGAGAAGAGAAGACAANAGAAGUUAGAGCGUGAGAGAGACGACGGACGACGACGAGGGAGGAGG